RNAcentral lists this ribosomal RNA (254 nucleotides) under uncultured bacterium. RNAcentral describes it as "partial 16S ribosomal RNA". It matches the Rfam family "Bacterial small subunit ribosomal RNA", at positions 524 to 776 of the family's 1533-position model. The record is from RNAcentral.
UACGUAGGGUGCGAGCGUUAUUCGGAAUUACUGGGCGUAAAGCGUGCGCAGGCGGUCUGUUAAGUCCGAUGUGAAAUCCCCGGGCUUAACCUGGGAACUGCAUUGGUGACUGGCAGGCUUUGAGUGUGGCAGAGGGAGGUAGAAUUCCACGAGUAGCAGUGAAAUGCGUAGAGAUGUGGAGGAAUACCGAUGGCGAAGGCAGCCUCCUGGGCCAACACUGACGCUCAGGCACGAAAGCGUGGGGAGCAAACAGG